RNAcentral lists this ribosomal RNA (514 nucleotides) under uncultured Flavobacteriia bacterium. RNAcentral describes it as "bacterial SSU rRNA". It matches the Rfam family "Bacterial small subunit ribosomal RNA", at positions 384 to 896 of the family's 1533-position model. Lineage: Bacteria; Pseudomonadati; Bacteroidota; Flavobacteriia. The record is from RNAcentral.
UGAUCAGCCAUGCCGCGUGCAGGAAGACUGCCCUAUGGGUUGUAAACUGCUUUUAUACAGGAAGAAUAAGCCUUACGUGUAAGGUGAUGACGGUACUGUAAGAAUAAGGACCGGCUAACUCCGUGCCAGCAGCCGCGGUAAUACGGAGGGUCCGAGCGUUAUCCGGAAUUAUUGGGUUUAAAGGGUCCGUAGGCGGAUGAUUAAGUCAGGGGUGAAAGUUUGCAGCUCAACUGUAAAAUUGCCUUUGAUACUGGUCAUCUUGAGUUGUAUUGAAGUAGGCGGAAUAUGUAGUGUAGCGGUGAAAUGCAUAGAUAUUACAUAGAACACCAAUUGCGAAGGCAGCUUACUAAGUACUAACUGACGCUGAUGGACGAAAGCGUGGGUAGCGAACAGGAUUAGAUACCCUGGUAGUCCACGCCGUAAACGAUGGAUACUAGCUGUUCGGGACCUUGAGUUCUGAGCGGCUAAGCGAAAGUGAUAAGUAUCCCACCUGGGGAGUACGUUCGCAAGAAUG